UAGGGAAUCUUCCGCAAUGGACGCAAGUCUGACGGAGCAACGCCGCGUGAGUGAAGAAGGAUUUCGGUUCGUAAAACUCUGUUGUUAGAGAAGAACAGCGCAUAGAGUAACUGUUAUGCGUGUGACGGUAUCUAACCAGAAAGCCACGGCUAACUACGUGCCAGCAGCCGCGGUAAUACGUAGGUGGCAAGCGUUGUCCGGAUUUAUUGGGCGUAAAGCGAGCGCAGGCGGUCAAUUAAGUCUGAUGUGAAAGCCCCCGGCUCAACCGGGGAGGGUCAUUGGAAACUGGUUGACUUGAGUGGAGAAGAGGAGAGUGGAAUUCGAUGUGUAGCGGUGAAAUGCGUAGAUAGAUGGAGGAACACCAGUGGCGAAGGCGACUAUCUGGUCUGUAACUGACGCUGAGGCUCGAAAGCGUGGGUAGCAAACAGG
RNAcentral lists this ribosomal RNA (429 nucleotides) under Bacteroidota bacterium. RNAcentral describes it as "Bacteroidetes bacterium partial 16S ribosomal RNA". It matches the Rfam family "Bacterial small subunit ribosomal RNA", at positions 355 to 776 of the family's 1533-position model. The record is from RNAcentral. Lineage: Bacteria; Pseudomonadati; Bacteroidota.